RNAcentral lists this ribosomal RNA (252 nucleotides) under uncultured bacterium. RNAcentral describes it as "partial 16S ribosomal RNA". It matches the Rfam family "Bacterial small subunit ribosomal RNA", at positions 524 to 775 of the family's 1533-position model. The record is from RNAcentral.
GACGUAGGAUGCAAGCGUUGUCCGGAUUUAUUGGGCGUAAAGAGUUCGUAGGCGGUUCGUUAAGUCUGAUGUUAAAGACUGGGGCUCAACCUCGGAAAUGCAUUGGAUACUGGCGGACUAGAGUGCAGUAGAGGCAAGCGGAAUUCCCAGUGUAGCGGUGAAAUGCGUAGAUAUUGGGAAGAACACCGGUGGCGUAAGCGGCUUGCUGGGCUGUAACUGACGCUGAGGAACGAAAGCUAGGGUAGCGAAUGG